RNAcentral lists this ribosomal RNA (496 nucleotides) under uncultured bacterium. RNAcentral describes it as "partial 16S ribosomal RNA". It matches the Rfam family "Bacterial small subunit ribosomal RNA", at positions 28 to 507 of the family's 1533-position model. The record is from RNAcentral.
GAUGAACGCUGGCGGCGUGCCUAAUACAUGCAAGUCGAGCGAACAGACGUGGAGCUUGCUCCUCUGACGUUAGCGGCGGACGGGUGAGUAACACGUGGAUAACCUACCUAUAAGACUGGGAUAACUUCGGGAAACCGGAGCUAAUACCGGAUAUAUAUUGAACCGCAUGGUUCAAUAGUGAAAGACGGUUUUGCUGUCACUUAUAGAUGGAUCCGCGCCGCAUUAGCUAGUUGGUAAGGUAACGGCUUACCAAGGCAACGAUGCGUAGCCGACCUGAGAGGGUGAUCGGCCACACUGGAACUGAGACACGGUCCAGACUCCUACGGGAGGCAGCAGUAGGGAAUCUUCCGCAAUGGGCGAAAGCCUGACGGAGUAACGCCGCGUGAGUGAUGAAGGUCUUCGGAUCGUAAAACUCUGUUAUUAGGGAAGAACAAAUGUGUAAGUAACUAUGCACGUCUUGACGGUACCUAAUCAGAAAGCCACGGCUAACUACGUG